RNAcentral lists this transfer RNA (77 nucleotides) under Candidatus Servula neotermitis. Its description in RNAcentral is "tRNA-Pro". It matches the Rfam family "tRNA". From Rfam's summary of the family: Transfer RNA (tRNA) molecules are approximately 80 nucleotides in length. Their secondary structure includes four short double-helical elements and three loops (D, anti-codon, and T loops). The record is from RNAcentral. Lineage: Bacteria; Bacillati; Actinomycetota; Actinomycetes; Bifidobacteriales; Bifidobacteriaceae.
CGGGAUGUGGCGCAGCUUGGUAGCGCACUCGAAUGGGGUUCGAGGGGUCGCAAGUUCAAAUCUUGUCAUCCCGACCA